This 1014-nucleotide long non-coding RNA is filed under the name Paramuricea clavata. The record is from RNAcentral. Lineage: Eukaryota; Metazoa; Cnidaria; Anthozoa; Malacalcyonacea; Plexauridae.
CUUCUAUUUAUCUAGGAAAGUUAAGAUGUAGACAGCUUCGUGUCAAGCAAAGACCCAAAAGAAUUGCCAUUUCUUGUAAUGGUUGUCUGGCGACCGUUGAAUGCAAUUUCUCAAAUCUUUAUUGUCGCUGACUUGCUGGUACUUUUUCGAGUUAAGGUUGUAAUUGUGGAACUGAUGGCAUGAACUCACAUUCUCUUUUCGAGAGGAGGUUAAUUAAUGAAAUUAGGAAUGACAUAUACUAAGUAAUAUGAACUGAAUAAAAUCUGAACUCAGUAGGAGAGGGCAAUUGCUCUUGUAUUGUAUAUACAGUAGGUAUCGUUUAUAACUCAUUGCAGUAUUUGCAUCAGUUUGGUUCGAAUUAAUGUUGCAUCUUUACUCUGAACGGAGUGCGUACAACCAUGCAUGCAUGUAUUGUAGGUCAAAAUCACUUUGUUUGUUACUACUGUGUAUGCUAAUUUUAAUUUGUUCUAUAUAUUGGUAGAAUACAUUAUUUUCACUGACACAGUUGUGUUGAGAUGACUAUAUAGUAUCUGACUUUAUAUUAUUUCUUUCAGUCAUGGCCUUACUCGGAACAAUGAGUAAAAAGGUACUCAGCUCGCUGAGAAAAAGGAGAAUGUUUAAAGAUUUGAGUAGUUUUGUACUCGUUGUUUUGAGUAAGGCACUUCUUUUACUCACUGUGAGUAAAUAUCGCACUUUACUCACGUUUUAGGUGUCACUGGGAAUGGAUUUUGGUUUACUCAGAAACUUGAGUAAAAUUUUACUCGUUGUUUUGCGUAAAACCUGCAGUUUACUCACUGUGAGUAAAAAUCGCAUUUUACUCACGUUUUAGAUGUCACUGUGAAUGCAUUUUGUUUUACUCAGAAAUUUGAGUAAAAUUUUACUCAUUGUUUUGCGUAAAACCUGCAGUUUACUCACUGUGAGUAAAAAUCGCAUUUUACUCACGUUUUAGAUGUCACUGUGAAUGCAUUUUGUUUUACUCAGAAAUUUGAGUAAAAUUUUACUCAUUGUUUUGCG